GAAGCCCGAGUAAACGGCGGCCGUAACUAUAACGGUCCUAAGGUAGCGAAAUUCCUUGUCGGUUAAAUACCGACCUGCAUGAAUGGCGUAACGAGAUGGGAGCUGUCUCAACCAGAGAUUCAGUGAAAUUGUAGUGGAGGUGAAAAUUCCUCCUACCCGCGGCAAGACGGAAAGACCCCGUGGAC
RNAcentral lists this ribosomal RNA (185 nucleotides) under Helicobacter pylori. RNAcentral describes it as "partial 23S ribosomal RNA". It matches the Rfam family "Bacterial large subunit ribosomal RNA", at positions 1914 to 2098 of the family's 2925-position model. Lineage: Bacteria; Pseudomonadati; Campylobacterota; Epsilonproteobacteria; Campylobacterales; Helicobacteraceae. The record is from RNAcentral.